RNAcentral lists this ribosomal RNA (562 nucleotides) under uncultured bacterium. RNAcentral's name for it is "bacterial SSU rRNA". It matches the Rfam family "Bacterial small subunit ribosomal RNA", at positions 338 to 916 of the family's 1533-position model. The record is from RNAcentral.
CCUACGGGAGGCAGCAGUGGGGAAUAUUGGACAAUGGGCGAAAGCCUGAUCCAGCAAUGCCGCGUGAGUGAUGAAGGCCUUAGGGUUGUAAAGCUCUUUUACCAGGGAUGAUAAUGACAGUACCUGGAGAAUAAGCUCCGGCUAACUCCGUGCCAGCAGCCGCGGUAAUACGGAGGGAGCUAGCGUUGUUCGGAAUUACUGGGCGUAAAGCGUACGUAGGCGGUUAUUCAAGUCAGAGGUGAAAGCCUGGAGCUCAACUCCAGAACUGCCUUUGAAACUAGAUAGCUAGAAUCUUGGAGAGGUGAGUGGAAUUCCGAGUGUAGAGGUGAAAUUCGUAGAUAUUCGGAAGAACACCAGUGGCGAAGGCGACUCACUGGACAAGUAUUGACGCUGAGGUACGAAAGCGUGGGGAGCAAACAGGAUUAGAUACCCUGGUAGUCCACGCCGUAAACGAUGAUAACUAGCUGUUCGGGCUCUACGAGCUUGAGUGGCGCAGCUAACGCAUUAAGUUAUCCGCCUGGGGAGUACGGUCGCAAGAUUAAAACGUCAAAUGAAUUGACGG